This 1541-nucleotide ribosomal RNA is filed under the name metagenome. RNAcentral describes it as "bacterial LSU rRNA". It matches the Rfam family "Bacterial large subunit ribosomal RNA", at positions 686 to 2132 of the family's 2925-position model. The record is from RNAcentral.
AAUAGGGCGUUCAGUCGCAUGCCGUAGACCCGAAGCCGAGUGAGCUAUCCAUGGGCAGUGUGAAGCGGAGGUAAGACUCUGUGGAGGCGCGAACCGACUUCAGUUGAAAAUGGAGCGGAUGACCUGUGGAUAGGGGUGAAAGGCCAAUCAAACUCGGUGAUAGCUGGUUCUCCGCGAAAUGCAUUUAGGUGCAGCGUCGUGCGUUCAACGAUGGGGGUAGAGCACUGAAUGGGCUAGGGGUCCUACAAGACUACCGACCCCAAUCAAACUCCGAAUACCAUCGUUCCAGAGCACGGCAGUGAGACCUCGGGGGAUGAGCUUCGAGGUCGAGAGGGAAACAGCCCAGACCGCCAGCUAAGGUCCCAAAAUCUGAACUAAGUGGUAAACGAUGUGAGAUUGCGAAAACAGCCAGGAGGUUGGCUUGGAAGCAGCCAUCCUUUAAAGAGUGCGUAACAGCUCACUGGUCGAGUGAUCUUGCGCGGACAAUGUAACGGGGCUCAAGUUCAGUACCGAAGCUGCGGAUGCGACUCUCUGAGUCGCGUGGUAGCGGAGCGUCGAGCGCGCAGCGAAGCGGCGGGAUAACCCAGCCGUGGAGUGCGUUCGAGCGAGAAUGUUGGCAUGAGUAGCGAAAGAGGGGUGAGAACCCCCUCCGCCGUAUGUCCAAGGGUUCCUGGGCGAGGCCAAUCCUCCCAGGGUGAGUCGGGGGCUAAGGCGAGGCCGAGAGGCGUAGUCGAUGCACAACUGGUUGAUAUUCCAGUACCACCAUGUUCGCGACCGUUCCAAUACUUUGUUGCUAAGGGGCUGUGUUGACUUCGGUUAACACGAACCGACCCACAUUGUUGCGGAAAGCUAUAGGGGGACGCAGGAAGGUAGAUGAACCCGGUGAAUGGUAGAACCGGGGUAAGCGUGUAGGAGGAGGACCAGGCAAAUCCGGGCCUCACAUACUCUGAGACGUGAUACCGAGCCGCUUCAGGCGAAGUCAUUAAUCCUAUGCUGCCUAGAAAAGCCCAGUAGCGAGUUGACAUGGUGCCCGUACCCCAAACCAACACAGGUGGACAGGUAGAGCAUACCAAGGCGAGUGGGAUAACUAUGGUUAAGGAACUCGGCAAAUUUCCUCCGUAACUUCGGGAUAAGGAGGACCCCAGUAGCGUGACGAGACUUGCUCUCCGAGCGUGAAGGGGUGGCACAAAAUUGAGGGAAGCGACUGUUUACCAAAAACACAGCAGCGUGCUAAGCCGUAAGGCGCUGUAUACGCUGUGACUCCUGCCCGGUGCUGGAAGGUUACGGGGAUGGGUUAGUCCUUCGGGACGAAGCUCUGAACCUAAGCCCCAGUAAACGGCGGCCGUAACUAUAACGGUCCUAAGGUAGCGAAACUCCUUGUCGGGUAAGUUCCGACCUGCACGAAUGGAGUAACGACUUCCCUACUGCCUCAACCAUAGACCCAGCGAAAUUGAAGUACGAGUAAAGAUGCUCGUUAGCUGCAGAAGGACGGAAAGACCCCGUGGACCUUUACUAUAACUUGAUGUUGUGUUUUGUCAUAC